This 86-nucleotide transfer RNA is filed under the name Planctomycetaceae bacterium. RNAcentral's name for it is "tRNA-Leu". It matches the Rfam family "tRNA". Rfam says of the family: Transfer RNA (tRNA) molecules are approximately 80 nucleotides in length. Their secondary structure includes four short double-helical elements and three loops (D, anti-codon, and T loops). Further hydrogen bonds mediate the characteristic L-shaped molecular structure. tRNAs have two regions of fundamental functional importance: the anti-codon, which is responsible for specific mRNA codon recognition, and the 3' end, to which the tRNAs corresponding amino acid is attached (by aminoacyl-tRNA synthetases). tRNAs cope with the degeneracy of the genetic code in two manners: having more than one tRNA (with a specific anti-codon) for a particular amino acid; and 'wobble' base-pairing, i.e. permitting non-standard base-pairing at the 3rd anti-codon position. The record is from RNAcentral. Lineage: Bacteria; Pseudomonadati; Planctomycetota; Planctomycetia; Planctomycetales; Planctomycetaceae.
GGCCGAGUGGCGGAACUGGCAGACGCACGGGACUUAAAAUCCUGUGAGGGGUUUCCCUCGUGUGGGUUCGAAUCCCACCUCGGCCA